GAUGAACGCUGGCGGCGUGCCUAAUACAUGCAAGUCGAGCGAACAGACGAGGAGCUUGCUCCUCUGACGUUAGCGGCGGACGGGUGAGUAACACGUGGAUAACCUACCUAUAAGACUGGGAUAACUUCGGGAAACCGGAGCUAAUACCGGAUAAUAUAUUGAACCGCUUGGUUCAAUAGUGAAAGACGGUUUUGCUGUCAUUUAUAGAUGGAUCCGCGCCGCAUUAGCUAGUUGGUAAGGUAACGGCUUACCAAGGCAACGAUGCGUAGCCGACCUGAGAGGGUGAUCGGCCACACUGGAACUGAGACACGGUCCAGACUCCUACGGGAGGCAGCAGUAGGGAAUCUUCCGCAAUGGGCGAAAGCCUGACGGAGCAACGCCGCGUGAGUGAUGAAGGUCUUCGGAUCGUAAAACUCUGUUAUUAGGGAAGAACAAAUGUGUAAGUAACUAUGCACGUCUUGACGGUACCUAAUCAGAAAGCCACGGCUAACUACGUG
Molecule: ribosomal RNA, 497 nt
Filed under: uncultured bacterium
Lineage: Bacteria
Description: partial 16S ribosomal RNA
Rfam family: Bacterial small subunit ribosomal RNA
Source: RNAcentral